AAAGUACUCCCUCCGUCCCAAAAUUCUUGUCUUAGAUUUGUCUAGAUACGGAUGUAUCAAGUCACAGAUACAUCCGUAUCUAGACAAAUCUAAGAUGAGAAAUUUGGGACAGAGGGAGUAGUUG
Molecule: non-coding RNA, 124 nt
Organism: Triticum aestivum (bread wheat)
Lineage: Eukaryota; Viridiplantae; Streptophyta; Magnoliopsida; Poales; Poaceae
Source: Rfam